Molecule: long non-coding RNA, 2067 nt
Organism: Ctenopharyngodon idella (grass carp)
Lineage: Eukaryota; Metazoa; Chordata; Actinopteri; Cypriniformes; Xenocyprididae
Exons: 5
Source: RefSeq, a predicted model, not a curated record
AAUGAUUCUUGCCACUAAUUGAAAUUAAGCAAACAAUUCAAAUAAAAUGUAUUUAAAAACGUAUAAAAUAACUAUUAUUAUUCCAAAUUACUUUUAUACAACAUGAAUGAAAUGGAUUCAAGACCAACCUGAUCAAAUUACAUAAACUAUACUUAAUUCAUUGCCAUAAGGCGCAAAUGCAAGUGUUGCGCAUGCUCAUUAGAGUCUGGAGUCAAAUAACAACAACUGAAGGCGGCAAACUGGCAACGGUGAUCUACUGUCUGACUCAGCGAAAAGGAGGAUUUGGAUGCAUAGAUGUGGAUGUUUUCAAGAAACCUCAUAAUUUUGGGACAAUAACUCAAUUACGAUUUGUGGCAACGUAAAGUGUGUGGAAGAAGUAUCGCUGAAGUAUCCGGUAUGUUUAAGUAAUUGAAACAUUCUUAAACAUUGACAUUUUGAGAAGAGAUUCAGGCAACUUGUUCACAGUAAAUGAAGUAAGUGUUGUCAUUAUUUACAUUAAGACAUUUUUUGUAAAUUACAAUAAUUUCCUCUACAGUAGGCCUCUAUCUCUUCCAUCUUCCCUUUCCUUUUUUCCUCUCAGAUAAAAGCAGAAUUUAUGUGGAUAAAGACUGUGCCACUUCUGUCACGGUUCAUAGCAGCUGGACAGAUGCAAGUUGUGUGCGAAGACAUACACAUCAAACGAGACUGUGUCAUAAAGAGUCUGUGUGUGUUUCUCAAUGGGGACAUUACAACACUUGUCAAAGAAUUCCAGGACUGCAAUCCUGAAGGAGAUGAGGGAGGAAUUUCUGAGACCACUCUGGGCCUUUUUGUGACCCUUAAAGUGCUGAGUACUAGCCAGACGAUGUUGGAGUAGCAACAGAGGGUGUAAAACUGCUACAACACUUCAGAGUUUUUCCUUUGGAUUAAUAAUGCUGUUCAGAUUGAUCUACUCACUCAAGCUAUGCUCAGAGUCUCAAAUUCACAUUUGAAUUCUUCCAGAAGGUAAUGAUGAAUUUGGACUUUAGGACAUCACACAGAUGUUUCCAUCCCCUGGAAGGACAUUGAAAACUUUUAAACUUGUUCUGUAAUGUUGAUUUGAAGACAGUACGAUCGAUGACACUAUGAACCGAUGACACUAACUCAAACUGCACCUAAUGCACCUUCUGGCUUCCUAUCUGAUACAUUUAAACACAUUUAAUUUUUUGUUCACCAAAACAUGAACAUUCUGUCAUUAAUUACUCACCCUCAUGUCGUUCCACACCCGUAAGACCUUCGUUCAUCUUCAGAACACAAAUUAGGAUAUUUUUGAUGAAAUCCAUGAGCUAUCUGGCCUCCGAUAGACUGCAACACAACUAUCACUUUCAAGGUCCAGAAAGGUAGUGAAGACAUCAUUAAAAUAGUCAACAUGACUACAGUGGUUCAACCUUAAUAGUAUGAAGCGACGAGAAUACUUUUUGUGCGCAAAACAAUAAAAAAAAAAAAAGACUUUAUUCAAAAAUGUGUUCCCUUUUAUGUCAGUCUCCUACGCAGUUGAUGUUGUACACACAAAAUAUCUUAAUUUGUGUUUUGAAGAUGAACAAAGGUCUUAGGGGUUUGGAGCAACAUGAGGGUGAGUAAUUAAUGGCAGAAAUUUCAUUUUUGGGCGAAUAAACCCUUUGAAAAGAUGUUAGCCCUUGUGCUAUUCCUUGUCCAGGAAGUUAACUUGUGAGUAGCACACUUGGGCUACUGAAUGCCUAAAUGCUGAAAUUUGACGGACAACAAAAAACCUGUUAUAUGUAAAGUAAAUUAUAAUCCUUCAGAUUUUCUUCUUUUUUACCCCCAAGUGUCCUGAUUGUUUGAACAAAUGUUUACAAGGAAUGUAACCAUUUACAGAUCUGUAUCAAGUUUUAGAUGAGUGAAAGCACAAACUGAUGACAAUACUAUGCAGUGAGAUCCCAAUAUUACCUUGAAAUUGUGAAAAUAAUGUUUGAUGUUGAAAUUUGGUUCCAUGUUGAUCUAUGAACUUGUUGGCACACAGCCAUAACCAUUGUGUUAGUUUGGGAGAAGGCACAAAACUGCAGUAAACAGUUGCCUUAAUUUGUGAAAUAC